RNA transcript from Empidonax traillii (willow flycatcher), 3539 nucleotides. It is a transcript of the gene named acetyl-coenzyme A synthetase 2-like, mitochondrial, with no coding region annotated. The transcript has 15 exons. The record is from RefSeq and is a predicted model, not a curated record. Lineage: Eukaryota; Metazoa; Chordata; Aves; Passeriformes; Tyrannidae.
GAGGAGAGGGAGAAGUGAAGGUGGUGAGCGGGGAUGAAGCAGAGGAGUCUGGGCACGCAGAGCAGCCUUGGGAGAGCAGGAGCAGCAGCAGGCUGUUAGAGCCUGGCCCAGGCACCUUGGCCCCUGAGGGGAGCCCAGGCACAAGCUGAACCUGGCUCUUGUUCAAGAGCGGCUGUCAGGACUCAAAUUAGCAUGGAGGUUAUUUUCAGUCAAAUAUUUCUACAGCCCACCCCUUUCCCCUCCCUCAAAGAGAUUGAAUUUCUUUUUUCCCAUAGUGCUCUGGAAGAGAGGAGGAGAGGAACAAGGCGGGGAGAAAGGCUCCCUGUGCUGGAGGGCUUCUUUGUGUCCAGUUAGCCCAGGACAACAGAUUGCACAGGGGCCUGGGUUUUGCCUGGCCAGGUGUCCUGAGCAGCUGGAAGGGCUUCAGGCACCCAUCUCCUUGGUGAGAGGCAGGUACCCUGCGGUGAUGGCCAGGCUGCUGGCCAGGACUUGCUGCUCCAAAGCUCUUUCUCAGGUUCCCAGAUGCCCACUUAGGUUGGUGGCUGCCCGAGCUUGGAGCCAUGGGCCCCUCACCGCUUACAUGCCUGAAGCCAUCACCUUCUCCAGACCCAAGGACCACCAAGACUUGUACAAGGUUUCAGUGGAUCAAGGGGAUGCCUUCUGGGGAGCACUAGGAAGGAGCCGGCUCACCUGGAUCACCCCCUUCCACUCCGUCCAGGACUGUGAUCUGCACCAGGGCAGGGUGUCCUGGUUCCUGGGUGGGCAGCUGAACGUAACAGUGAAUUGCCUGGACCGUCAUGUCCAUGUAGCCCCAGACAAAGUGGCCUUAAUCUGGGAGAAGGAUGAACCAGGAGAGGAAGUACGGGUGACAUACAGGGAACUGCUAGAGCUGACGUGCCGCCUGGGAAACACCUUGAAACGGCAAGGGGUGAAACGGGGCGACAGGGUGACAAUCUACAUGCCCCCGUGCCCACUGGCAGUGGCUAGCAUGCUGGCCUGUGCCCGCAUAGGGGCUGUGCAUGCUGUGGUGUUCGCUGGGUUCAGUGCAGAGUCCCUCGCAGACAGGAUCCGGGAUGCGCAGUCAGAGACGGUGAUUACAGUGAACCAGGGUCUGAGAGGCGGCAAGGUUAUUGAGCUAAAGAAGACAGUGGAUCAGGCUGUGAAGCAGUGCCCUGGCGUGAAACGGGUUCUGGUUUCCAUGAGGACCACCAGCAAGGUUCCCAUGACAGCCCUAGAUGUGCCAUUGGAGGAGGAGAUGAUGAAAGAGGAUGCAUGCUGUGAACCUGCUGUCAUGGAUAGUGAAGACAUGUUGUUUCUUCUCUACACAUCAGGCAGUACUGGCAAACCCAAGGGCUUGGUUCAUUCCCAAGCUGGUUACUUGCUGUUUGCGGCUCUCACACACAAGUAUGUGUUCGACUACCAGGACAGGGACGUCUUUGGCUGUGUGGCAGACAUUGGCUGGAUCACGGGGCACACCUAUGUGGUCUAUGGCCCCCUCUGCAAUGGUGGCACCACUGUCCUUUUUGAGAGCACUCCUGUCCAUCCUAACCCUGGCCGCUACUGGGAAACAGUAGAGAGGUUAAGAAUUAACCAGUUCUAUGGGGCGCCCACUGCCAUCCGCCUGCUCCUGAGAUACGGUGACGAAUGGGUGAAGAAGUAUGACCGCUCUUCCCUCAAAGUGCUUGGCUCAGUGGGAGAACCCAUCAACAAGGAGGCAUGGGAAUGGUACUUCCGUGUGGUUGGCGAGACACGAUGCCCAGUAGUGGACACAUGGUGGCAAACCGAAACAGGAGGCAUCUGUAUCUCACCCCGUCCUUCUAAUGCUGGAGCAGAAAUCCUUCCAGGCAUGGCUAUGAGACCCUUUUUUGGGAUCAGCCCUGCCCUCUUAGAUGACAAGGGAAAUAUCCUUCUAGAAAACAACAUCUCUGGAGCCCUUUGCAUCUCACAAGCCUGGCCAGGUAUGGCACGAACCAUUUACAAUGACCACAAGAGAUUUCUGGAAACCUAUCUGACUCCUUAUCCAGGUUUUUUCUUCACUGGGGACGGUGCACAUCGUACCAGAAAGGGCUACUACCAGCUAACAGGACGGCUGGACGACAUCAUUAACAUCAGUGGACACCGGCUGGGCACUGCAGAGGUGGAGGACGUUGUGAAUCAUCAUGUGGCAGUGGCAGAGUCUGCCGUCAUCGGCUACCCACAUGAGAUCAAGGGAGAAGGAGCCUACGUGUUUGUUGUGCUGAAGAAGGACAGUGGCUACACACAGGAGACUCUUGCUGCUGAGCUACAGGAGCUCAUCUCCAAGAAGAUUGCUAAGUACGCAGCUCCAGAUUACGUUCAGGUCACACACCGGCUGCCCAAGACACGCUCGGGUAAGAUUAUGCGUCGGGUGCUACGGAAAAUUGUGGAGGACAAGGCCAGUGAGCUUGGGGACCUAACCACACUGGAUGACCAUGAAGCCGUGCAGCAGAUCAUAGAGGGACGCAAGCACCUGGUGGAGGGGCAGAAGGGCUACUAGCUUGGCUCUGCCAGCAGCCACCUCCUCCACCUUCCCUGUAAAACUAGGGAAACAUCCAGAAUUGCCACUAAGCAAGUGGUGGCCACUGCCAGCCACUGCCUCACCCCCAGUGAAAAAGCCAAGACAUGGUCUUCUUAAGGCAAGCCACAUGCCAGAGUGCUAAGCUGAGCAGCAGCCAGUGCACUCUUCCAGCACACCGCACAUGGAGCUCCCAGAAUGGCCUGUGGCACCUUCCUGACUGUUAAGGGCAAAUACUACAAAUCUGGGGAAGAAAAGUUCAAUUUGUUUUACAUUGUCUCUACAGCUUUUAGUUUGCAAUCCUCAGGUUCCUUUUGCCCAGACAGCACUGAGCUGUUCCACAGGCUUCAAGGGAAAGAGAGUUACUUACCUGUGGCUGCCUGCUACUGACACUGGCUCUCUUCACCCACAUCCACCCUGGCUCUCAUGGCAAGUCCUCCAACAGCCAGCAGAGAGUAAGGAACUGGCCCCAUCAGCUAAUCACAGAUGCUUCUGUGAUCCCUCAGGACCAUUUCUCCACUGGUUCUUGUCUUUCUUUGCCAUGUCAUGACUAAGUUUCCCAUAUUGAUUCCACAACCCUACAGAUGUUUGUGAGCUUCAGAUAUGGCAGCUGCCACCACACUCCCCAGCAUAAACACUUCUUUACAUAGCAACUAGUGAGCAUGCCAUUGAACAGGUGCCAUUGGACCUGGACGAAUAAUAUUAAUCACUAAUUCCCUAAGAAGACUAUGUCUUAUAUACAGCUUCUUGAUUUACCACCCUCCACACAAACAAUGAAAUAUUUUCACAACUGAAUCCUCUGCGUGCUAUGCUGCUAAAAUAAUGGCCAAGGCGAACCAUGCUCCUAGCAAACAAGGGAUUUCGUAAAUUUCUCUGUACCAGCUUCUCUUUACACCAGACAUCCCGCCUUCCCCUCCCCCUUUUUUUUCAUAGUCAGUCACUCACCUGCAUAUUUUGGCUGGAGGUAGAAGAGCCGUGCAAAUGAGAGUCUCUGCAUCUCCCCUGG